RNAcentral lists this ribosomal RNA (485 nucleotides) under uncultured Pelotomaculum sp. RNAcentral describes it as "bacterial SSU rRNA". It matches the Rfam family "Bacterial small subunit ribosomal RNA", at positions 897 to 1382 of the family's 1533-position model. The record is from RNAcentral. Lineage: Bacteria; Bacillati; Bacillota; Clostridia; Eubacteriales; Desulfotomaculaceae.
AAACUCAAAUGAAUUGACGGGGCCGCACAAGCGGUGGAGCAUGUGGUUUAAUUCGACGCAACGCGAAGAACCUUACCAGGGCUUGACAUCCCCUGACCGCGUAUGAAAGUACGUUUUCACCCUCGGGUGACAGGGAGACAGGUGGUGCACGGUUGUCGUCAGCUCGUGUCGUGAGAUGUUGGGUUAAGUCCCGCAACGAGCGCAACCCCUACGUUUAGUUGCUAACGCGUGAAGGCGAGCACUCUAGACGAACUGCCGUUAACAAAACGGAGGAAGGUGGGAUGACGUCAAAUCAUCAUGCCCCUUAUGUUCUGGGCUACACACGUGCUACAAUGGCCGGUACAGACGGACGCAAAGCCGCGAGGUGGAGCAAAUCCUAAAAAGCCGGUCUCAGUUCGGAUUGCAGGCUGCAAUUCGCCUGCAUGAAGUCGGAAUCGCUAGUAAUCGCAGGUCAGCAUACUGCGGUGAAUACGUUCCCGGGCCUU